AGUGGCGGACGGGUGAGUAACGCGUGGGUAACCUGCCUCAUACAGGGGGAUAACAGUUAGAAAUGACUGCUAAUACCGCAUAAGACCACAGCACCGCAUGGUACAGGGGUAAAAACUCCGGUGGUAUGAGAUGGACCCGCGUCUGAUUAGGUAGUUGGUGGGGUAACGGCCUACCAAGCCGACGAUCAGUAGCCGACCUGAGAGGGUGAUCGGCCACAUUGGGACUGAGACACGGCCCAA
Molecule: ribosomal RNA, 240 nt
Filed under: uncultured bacterium
Lineage: Bacteria
Description: partial 16S ribosomal RNA
Rfam family: Bacterial small subunit ribosomal RNA
Source: RNAcentral